Molecule: ribosomal RNA, 253 nt
Filed under: uncultured bacterium
Lineage: Bacteria
Description: partial 16S ribosomal RNA
Rfam family: Bacterial small subunit ribosomal RNA
Source: RNAcentral
UACGUAGGUGGCAAGCGUUGUCCGGAUUUACUGGGCGUAAAGCGUGCGUAGGCGGUUCAGCAAGUCGGGUGUGAAAUCCCUGGGCUUAACCCAGGAACUGCAUUCGAUACUACUGAGCUGGAGUAUGGUAGAGGGUAGUGGAAUUCCGGGUGUAGCGGUGAAAUGCGUAGAUAUCCGGAGGAACACCAGUGGCGAAGGCGGCUACCUGGACCAAUACUGACGCUGAGGCACGAAAGCGUGGGGAGCAAACAGG